This 67-nucleotide transfer RNA is filed under the name Chaenophryne sp. CDS3E. Its description in RNAcentral is "tRNA-Val". Lineage: Eukaryota; Metazoa; Chordata; Actinopteri; Lophiiformes; Oneirodidae. The record is from RNAcentral.
CAGGGCAUAGCUAAGCACAGCGCCUCCCUUGCACUGAGGAGUUAUCCGUGCAACUCGGGUUGCCUGA